UGCCAGACUCCUACGGGAGGCAGCAGUGGGGAAUAUUGCACAAUGGGGGAAACCCUGAUGCAGCGACGCCGCGUGAGCGAUGAAGUAUUUCGGUAUGUAAAGCUCUAUCAGCAGGGAAGAAGAUGACGGUACCUGACUAAGAAGCCCCGGCUAACUACGUGCCAGCAGCCGCGGUAAUACGUAGGGGGCAAGCGUUAUCCGGAUUUACUGGGUGUAAAGGGAGCGUAGACGGCGAUGCAAGCCAGAUGUGAAAGCCCGGGUCUCAACCCCGGGACUGCAUUUGGAACUGUGUGGCUGGAGUGUCGGAGAGGCAGGCGGAAUUCCUAGUGUAGCGGUGAAAUGCGUAGAUAUUAGGAGGAACACCAGUGGCGAAGGCGGCCUGCUGGACGAUGACUGACGUUGAGGCUCGAAAGCGUGGGGAGCAAACAGGAUUAGAUACCCCCGUA
RNAcentral lists this ribosomal RNA (446 nucleotides) under uncultured bacterium. RNAcentral's name for it is "bacterial SSU rRNA". It matches the Rfam family "Bacterial small subunit ribosomal RNA", at positions 329 to 792 of the family's 1533-position model. The record is from RNAcentral.